UACGUAGGGUGCGAGCGUUGUCCGGAAUUACUGGGCGUAAAGAGCUCGUAGGUGGUUUGUCGCGUUGUUCGUGAAAUCUCACAGCUCAACUGUGGGCGUGCGGGCGAUACGGGCAGACUGGAGUACUGCAGGGGAGACUGGAAUUCCUGGUGUAGCGGUGGAAUGCGCAGAUAUCAGGAGGAACACCGGUGGCGAAGGCGUGUCUCUGGGCAGUAACUGACGCUGAGGAGCGGAAGCGUGGGGAGCGAACAGG
This 253-nucleotide ribosomal RNA is filed under the name uncultured bacterium. Its description in RNAcentral is "partial 16S ribosomal RNA". It matches the Rfam family "Bacterial small subunit ribosomal RNA", at positions 524 to 776 of the family's 1533-position model. The record is from RNAcentral.